GGAACAGGCCCUUCGGCCCACAAUGUCCAUGCUGAACAUGACACCAGGUUAAAUCAAUCUCCUCUGCAUGCACCUGACCAAUAUCUCUCCAUUCCCUGCAUGUCCAUGCUCCUGCCUGACAGCCUCU
Molecule: long non-coding RNA, 127 nt
Organism: Amblyraja radiata (thorny skate)
Lineage: Eukaryota; Metazoa; Chordata; Chondrichthyes; Rajiformes; Rajidae
Exons: 3
Source: RefSeq, a predicted model, not a curated record